GCGGCUGUGACCCUGCUGGAGUGCGGGGGGCACCUCCAGCCCCCGGGGGGGUCCCUGCGCCUCCUCUGCCAAGGGGCUGGGUUCAGUCUUGGGAGUGUUGCAAUGGGAUGGAUGCGCCAGAGACCCGAGCAGGGGCUGGAAUUCAUCGCCAGUAUCAGCUACAAUGGUCGUAGCACCAACCACGAGCCAUCAGUCAAGGGCCGGUUCACGAUCUCCAGGGACAACGGGCAGAGCUCGGUGACGCUGACCAUGAACAACCUCAAGGACGAGGAUUCCGCCUCCUAUUUCUGUAUCCUGAACCGGCCCUGCACAGAUGAUGAUUAG
Non-coding RNA from Melozone crissalis (California towhee), 324 nucleotides. NCBI's taxonomy places the organism in Eukaryota, Metazoa, Chordata, Aves, Passeriformes, Passerellidae. The record is from the annotation of a RefSeq genome assembly.